ACGCUCGACACCUACGGAGGCAGCAGUUGGGAAUAUUGGACAAUGGAGGAAACUCUGAUCCAGUGACGCCGCGUGAAGGAAGAAGGUCUUCGGAUUGUAAACUUAUUUUGUCAGGGAAGAAAAAAUGACUGUACCUGAAGAAAAAGCACCGGCUAACUACGUGUCAGCAGCCGCGGUAAUCUGAGCGGGCUGGCAAGGC
Molecule: ribosomal RNA, 199 nt
Filed under: uncultured bacterium
Lineage: Bacteria
Description: partial 16S ribosomal RNA
Rfam family: Bacterial small subunit ribosomal RNA
Source: RNAcentral